Molecule: unclassified non-coding RNA, 549 nt
Filed under: Hevea brasiliensis (rubber tree)
Lineage: Eukaryota; Viridiplantae; Streptophyta; Magnoliopsida; Malpighiales; Euphorbiaceae
Source: RNAcentral
GGUGAUUUGAUUUGAUUUUCUUCGAGAACUAGAAUUUUCUUCCUGAAGAUCUGAAGGCAAAUCUCCCUUGUUGUCAAGGUAAUCAAGGGAAUGGCCACUAGUUCGGCUCCGGUGAGUUGCAGAAAAGCUUCGAUCUCUCCGUCUUCCACAGAUCAUCCUAGUAAGUUUCUCAAAUCAUUCGCGCCGUUUCGAUUAUUUCGUUAUAUGUACAAAUCAAAGCAGUGACUUCGAUUUCGAUUUCGAGUCCUAUUCCGAUUCCGAUUCCGGCGCCCUCUGAUAUAUAGCCCUAAUUACCGCUCAUCAUAUUUUUACAAACUCCGAUCGUUUCAGCUUCGACUUCAAUCACUCAGUGAGUCAACUCGUUACCAGCACUGAUCUGUCUCCCAAUUCCGGCGAGUGUAUCCAGUGAAACCAGAAGCCAUCCGCGCGGAAGCCACAGGCCGAUACCGACGGAGAAGCUUCCGAUCGUAAUCGGCGCGUUUCUCAGGAUCAGACAAAGUGGAAUAAGCGGCGUGGAUCUUCAUGAAAUCGGUGGCCGACGAGUCUUUC